AAGCCACAGACACUCAGGGCUCUGGCCAGCGGCUGCCCCAGCACAGCCACAGAAAUGGGGACAGUGGAAGGCACCAUCCUGCCGGCCAGAGGGGGGCUCUGGGCCAAGAGAAGACCAGAGCCGACUUGGGGAUUAUUCAAAGCCCAAAGCAAACAGCAUUCUCAAGGAGAAGAGGUUGUUCAGACACUGCUGUGAGGCCCCAAGAAGUGAAACGAACCUGAGCCCUUGCCCAGCGUGGAUGGGCCUGAGCACGUCCUCUGCGGCCCUUUGACAAGCCACAGAGAUGGAGCUGCCCAGGUUCCCAGCUGGUGGUCAGUGACAAUGGUGGACUGCGGAGGUGAAGUUAACGACUUCACAGCUACAGAGUUUCCUUAGCAGAGCUGUGGAGUGUGACAAUGGUGUUUGUGUCCAAACUAUCAAACGCCAUUAUCACACUAAAUAGCUACUGCUAGGCAAUCCUUCUGCUCAGGAAAUGUCUUGGCAUCUGUUUGGUAGGGGCAACAAGGUUCAUCUGGUAGCAGUGCUCCCAAUCUUACGUGGUUACUGAAUGAAGUCUGGUACUUCCGUGCUCAGAACUUACAUGUUCCUCUGACCCCUGACUCACUCAUGCUGUUGUUACGUACUCGAGUGGUGUUUUGUUUCCUUGUUUUCUCAAGUCAAUAAGAAGUUUGCAGAGUCCCCCAGAGCACCCAGCGUAAUGCUUGGCACCUGGUAAUCGGUCAACAUAUGCUUAGAGAGUGGAAAUGAAUAGUUAACAAGGUGUUAGAUGCAAAAAAACUAAAACUGGGUUAAAUUUAGGUUAUGCAAACCACAGGCUUAUAGGUACAAAGGUAAGGUACGUAGGCCUUCUAUUAAACUUAGGUAGGACUUCACUGACCUUUCAGACAUUCUAAAACAUGUUUGCUUUCUGCUGAUUUCAAUCAAUUACCAGGCUGAUUACUGAAUGUGUAUGCCAGGUUCUUCUUUGUUAGGUCUGAAUGUAUUACCAUCAGAAAAUUAUUUAUGAACUAUAUGAGCUGCCAUAGCAAAUCUGAACAUUUUUUAAGCCCAUGUGAUUUCUGGGACAGCUGGUCUUGCUGGUGGUGUGCUUUGGAACACAUCCUCUUUCUAACGUGAGGAGCAGGUUCUAGGCUGUGCUGGCCUAGAACUUCUCUCUCAGGACUUGGCUAAAUGAACUAGUGCAUGUUUAAGCAAAUUGACAGGAUUUGGAUCAACCAUCAGAAAAAAGUUAAUUCAAUCAUUCCACUAUUCUCUUACCAAAUAAGUACGUAUAGUGUGGCUGCCGUGUGGCUGCCAUGUGUCUGGCACUGUCCUCGGCACUGGAGAGGCUUUUAAAUGAAGUCUGAUGUUAUUUCCAGAGAGGGGCUUUCACUGGCUCACAUUCUGUUGUGGGACCAUGAUAAUGGUUCCAAUUACAUUUAUUAAGGAAAAAAAUGAAUAGAACUUUGCAAAAUAAUUCCAAGUCCUUUGCUGGAAAAGCACCACUUGAGUGCAGCCCACAUAUCUAUGAAGCCCACAAAAGCUUCAAGGUCAUGGCUUCAAGCUUCAAAGAAGAGGAAGUGAAUUCCUUCUUGCCUUGUGUCUCCUCCCACCUCCCGUUCCUUCUGUCCUGGCAUCAUCCACUGUCAAGAGGAAAACCAGAUGCCCCUGAAAUAAUAAAUACACUGAUACUCUU
This is a long non-coding RNA of Nycticebus coucang (slow loris), 1675 nucleotides long. RefSeq lists it as uncharacterized. Lineage: Eukaryota; Metazoa; Chordata; Mammalia; Primates; Lorisidae. The record is from RefSeq and is a predicted model, not a curated record. The transcript has 3 exons.